Molecule: long non-coding RNA, 575 nt
Organism: Oncorhynchus tshawytscha (Chinook salmon)
Lineage: Eukaryota; Metazoa; Chordata; Actinopteri; Salmoniformes; Salmonidae
Source: Ensembl
CCUGUGUAUAGCUAUGUCUCACUCCCUGUGGCAUAGCUAGGUCUCUCUCUCUCCCUGUGGCAUAGAUAGAUCUCUCUCUCUCUCCCUUUGGCAUAGCUAGGUCUCUCCCUCUCCCUGUGGCAUAGCUAGGUCUCUCCCUCUCACUGUGGCAUGGCUAUGUCUCUCCCUCUCCCUGUGGCAUGGCUAUGUCUCUCCCCCUCCCUGUGGCAUAGCUAUGUCUCUCCCCGUCCGUGUGGCAUAGCUAGGUCUCUCUCUCUCCCUGUGUAUAGCUAGGUCUCUCUCUCUCCCGGUGUAUAGCUAUGUCUCUCUCUCUCCCUGUGUAUAGCUAUGUCUCUCUCCCUGUGGAAUAGCUAGGUCUCUCUCUCCCUGUGGCAUAGCUAGGUCUCUCUCUCUCUCCCUGUAGAAUAGCUAGGUCUCUCUCUCUCCCUGUGGCAUGGCUAUGUCUCUCUCCCUGUGUAUAGCUAGGUCUCUCUCCCUGUGGCAUAGCUAUGUCUCUCUCCCUGUGGAAUAACUAUGUCUCUCUCCCUGUGGAAUAGCUAGGUCUCUCUCUCUCCCUGUGGAUAGCUAGGUCUCUC